CCUAAUUGGCUUUUCCAUGGCGGCGGCUCGUGAACGUAAUGACAAUUCAUAUGAAGACGGAGGGGGUUUCGGCAAGUUUCGAAAGCGGCCGUUUCGAAGGGUCCAGGCUACGCCGUACGAUCGGCCGCCGACCGCAAUUCGAAACCCCACCCCCGCUAGUAACACCAACAACAAUAAUGGUUGGUUAUCAAAGUUGGUGGAUCCAGCACAGAGGCUCAUUACUUACAGCGCUCACAAGCUUUUUGCUUCCGUUUUACGAAAACGGCUACCUCCACCUCCUCCGCCCCAGCCGCCGGAGACAGAGGCAAAUGGGGGAGCGCCUGAUAAGCAGCGGGAAACCGUUCCUAAAGAUCCACCCGG
Molecule: unclassified non-coding RNA, 360 nt
Filed under: Hevea brasiliensis (rubber tree)
Lineage: Eukaryota; Viridiplantae; Streptophyta; Magnoliopsida; Malpighiales; Euphorbiaceae
Source: RNAcentral